GGUUAUGGCUCAGUGGUAGAGCACUUGCCUAUCAUGUGUGGGGCACUGGGUUCAAUUCUCAGCACCA
RNAcentral lists this transfer RNA (67 nucleotides) under Marmota monax (woodchuck). RNAcentral describes it as "tRNA.Asp". Lineage: Eukaryota; Metazoa; Chordata; Mammalia; Rodentia; Sciuridae. The record is from RNAcentral.